Non-coding RNA from Gasterosteus aculeatus aculeatus (three-spined stickleback), 646 nucleotides. Lineage: Eukaryota; Metazoa; Chordata; Actinopteri; Perciformes; Gasterosteidae. The record is from RefSeq and is a predicted model, not a curated record.
CUUUUCAGCCAACAUAUGUCACGCAAUUCAGCCAAUCAACUGACUUCUUCUUCAAACGCCGUUCUGUCUCGACUGCCAGAGUUUUUCACUGUGAAAAAAGGACUAGAUGGACUUCUUUUUAAAAAGGGAGGUCCCUCUUCAGGAGGCCAGGAAAUAAAUGACUUUGCUUCUCUCUCACUAUUUGUUCCCUACCACCAACUGCUUGACAUGAUUUAUGUAAAGAAUGACAUAUAUUUUGCCAACGUUUGAGCCUGAGUGCCUUGGGCUGUUGAAAAAACAAAAUCUCAGCACAUUCAUUAUGAUUUGCAAAGUGUUUGUGUUUAUUUUCUUGUAGAUUCGUUUUGAAAAAAUGGUGUUUCUUGUAUCACUCCACAUGUGGUUGGAUCAGAUAGUUUAUUAAAAAAAUGUAACUCAUUGAUGACAGUGACACAUUUUGCAGAUGUUUGUACUUCAGUGGGAAUGUUCUCUGUACAGUAACAGCAUGUCUUAACUUCUGUAAAUGCUGCGUCAGCAUCUAUGAUCUUUGCUUUUACGAUAUGACUUUUAGGUUGAAAUUUUAUACUGUAUUGUUAAAUGCUUAAAGCAUGGCAACACGGACAGAUGAAAAAAGUUCUAGUUUUUUGUAAUAAAUUGUGAUACUAUCAUA